This 249-nucleotide unclassified non-coding RNA is filed under the name Capitofimbria compacta. Its description in RNAcentral is "partial contains 5.8S ribosomal RNA, internal transcribed spacer 2, and large subunit ribosomal RNA". Lineage: Eukaryota; Fungi; Ascomycota; Sordariomycetes; Hypocreales; Stachybotryaceae. The record is from RNAcentral.
CGCACAUUGCGCCCGCUAGUAUUCUGGCGGGCAUGCCUGUUCGAGCGUCAUUUCAACCCUCAGGCCCUCUGGCGCCUGGCGUUGGGGAUCGGCCGUACGUGCCGGCCCCGAAAUACAGUGGCGGUCCCGUUGCGGAACUCUGCGUAGUAAAACAAACCUCGCAGCUGGGAAGCGACGGCGGCCACGCCGUGAAACACCCCACUUCUGAAAGUUGACCUCGGAUCAGGUAGGAAUACCCGCUGAACUUAA